ACAAUCCCAAGGACCACAACGGAAAAUUGCAUCAUCCACGUCAGUCUCGAGAAUGGCAAUGGGAAGGUGUACAAA
Molecule: long non-coding RNA, 75 nt
Organism: Amblyraja radiata (thorny skate)
Lineage: Eukaryota; Metazoa; Chordata; Chondrichthyes; Rajiformes; Rajidae
Exons: 3
Source: RefSeq, a predicted model, not a curated record